GAGGAUCUACGGUGAAGAGAGAGAGAGAGGGGGCGUCGGGAGGUUGGGGAAGGGGAUGUCUGGUGGCAGUGAAAGGCAUGGUUGGCGGUGGCAGGAGAAGCGCCGACGGAGGUUGGGGAAGGACAUGUCUGGGGGCGCUGGCGGGGGAUGGGCGGAGGAGGUUGGUGGUAGUGACGUGUGAGAUUAUGAUUGUUAAUUUGUUUUUAACUUUUAAUUUUUCUUAAUUAAAUAUAAUUUAUUUUUAAUUUUUAACAAAAGCGACGUCGUUUCGUCUAAGAAAUUGACACGUCAGUUUCGAUUUUGCCACAUAGGAGACACGUUAGCU
RNAcentral lists this long non-coding RNA (325 nucleotides) under Salvia miltiorrhiza (redroot sage). RNAcentral's name for it is "long non-coding RNA (SMIL_LNC013735)". The record is from RNAcentral. Lineage: Eukaryota; Viridiplantae; Streptophyta; Magnoliopsida; Lamiales; Lamiaceae.